RNAcentral lists this transfer RNA (75 nucleotides) under Sphaerodactylus townsendi. Its description in RNAcentral is "tRNA-Ala". The record is from RNAcentral. Lineage: Eukaryota; Metazoa; Chordata; Lepidosauria; Squamata; Sphaerodactylidae.
GGAGAGGCUGUGGUUCAGUGGAGGAGCAUCUGUUUAGCAUGCAGAAGAUUCCAGGUUCAUUCACUGGCAUUUCCA